AACUGUGUUUAAUAGAAUAAACAGAAACAAUGAUAAGCGAAAAAACGGUGUGGGAAGAUUUAUCAGGAAUUUUUGCUGAUCCUCCAAAAAUGAGAAACAUGUGUGAAAAAUGCAAUGAGUCACAACAACGUUAAAAGAAGCAGUCUGGAAAAUAAUUUCAACGUUAGCAACAUCAAUGCAAGCAGUAUAGAAAAAAAUUAGUUUGAUGGAACACACGCAUCAACAAUCCAUGACAGUAUAAUGGAACAAAAUGAUUUGUAUAUAUUUUUAAAAGAUUAGUAAGUAAAUAUCUACUGAUAUAUUACGAUUCAAUAUAAUGAAAACUGAACGUUACAAUUCAGUUCAAGUGGACAAAAAACGUAAACUUCCAAACAAAAGACAGAGAAAAAAGAUAAAGCGUUUAAAGGAAGAAGAGAGUCAAAAAACUCAAGAAAAUGCAACCAAAUAAUUUUCCAAAAAUUUUACAGGUAAUUUGUAAUUACUUACCAUACAUUUACAAUAAGAAGGUUUUUUCCAACGAAAAUGUUGUACCAUAAGCGAAAAAAUAACUUAAAAUAUUUUUAAAAACUAUUGAAAUUGGUUCUUGCUUCUAUUAGAUAUAUUCAAACAAUAGUUUUCCAGAAAGUGUUAUCAACAUUUGUUUGCAAUGCUUGCGACGUCUACCAUAUUAACCUAUUGAUUCCCGAUGGACCAUUCCGUAGUCGUUUGGUUUUUUUAAAUCAAAAUACAAGAAUUAUAAAAACAUGUAAAGUUGGGUUCUUUCCUAUAUAAAAUCGCCUCGUCAUUUUGAUUCUAUCAUUACAUUUUUCAAAGUUUCAAUAUAAAAACCAAUAUGGCCACUCAAAGUGGAGAAAUUUUUUGCUUAAAAAGACGACCGUGGACAUGUAUAGUAGUUAAUAAUUACAUGUAGCAUCAUUUGAGCAGUCUAGUUAUAGAAUCUCUAGGUCGAAAAAUUAUAAUUUAUAAUUAGGUUUCCAUUUUUCUAAAAUGGUAGACUUCAAAUUGAGACUUGAUGUUUACAAAAUUAACUUUUUCCCGAAAAUGUGGGUGACUACUUAUUUUAUAAGCUUUCGGGAACACAUAAUUCAAAUAUACAAGAUAAUUUUUAUUUUUUCAAAUAUCUAAUUGUAAAUUAGAAAACCAUUCCACACUUACCUAUUUUUAUUGUCCUUAUUUCUUUUCUAAGCCAAAGAGCAAACAAGUACGAAAUAGUUCAUUAGGACUUGUUAACAUAUUAUUAUUAUUAUUAUUAUUAUUAUUAUUAUUACACCAUUAAGCCAACAUAAAUGAGACAUUAAAUGAAAUGUUGAUAUAAGUUGCAAUUAUAGAGAUUUAAUGUAAAUCAAAUUAGGUAAAUUAAAAGGCUUGGAGAUUGGGCUCAUUUAAUGUUCUUGAAGUUAUAAAUUUACUUAAAGUAAGGGCUUUUAACUUAUACGCAAUUACGGCGCCAUUUACAACCUUUUUGCCGGUGAAUGAUUUCCAUAUAACUACAAAAUGGCAAGUAUACACCCCAUUUUCAGUUAGAUAAAUCGUACAAUAUUGGUUAUAUUCAUUUUACAACUUAUACAUUAUUAAUCAAAAUUAUAUGCGACACAGUUUAUAAACUCUGCUAUUUUCUUACUCAUUGCUUUGUAGAGUUUUCAAUAUUUUGGUACGAGAUUAAAUUUCAAAUAAUAAGAGUACAAAUACGUUUAAACCUGGAUUAACCUUACUGUUUAUCCAACAUGCAAACAAAAAAUGUAAGCCUUUAGUGAUCAUUUCAAAUUAUGCUUCAACUCAUUUUCCACUGCUUUUACACGCCGAAAACGUUUUAAAUAAUUAGAAAACCUUUUCAUCAUUCUGUACAACAACGGAUGGUAGAUUCUAGAAACUAGAUCGAAGUCUAUGAGUAGGAGCGUGAAAAGAAUGUACAUUUUUGUGUUUCCAAGAAGUUCGAAGCUGUACGUUUGAUAUGCAGAUAUAGAAAUAUCUCUGUCAUCUAGCAAUUUUGUAUUUCUAAAAUUGAGAUGGCAGAUUAUCCGCACCUAUUAUUUGUAUAAUUCUGAAAGGCUCACUAUUUUUUAACCUCUUUCGGGUUCUUUAGUACGUUUGGUAGAUGAUUCAUUUUCAAAUUACACAAGCAGAAAUACGUUCAGACAUCGAUUAACGUUACUUUUUAUCAACAAUUAAAAUGUUCAACUUUCGAUAUCUGCAUUGUUGAUAAAGACUUGAUGUCAUUGGUUAGCCAUGACAUCGUUUAAAUUUUAAUAUUAUUUAUGUUAAUUUAGUAUUUUUUAUUCAUCCUUGCAUGAAAAUCUAUAAUUGUUAUAAGCGUAUCGGUGAAUAGAUUUAUGAUGAUACAAAGUUUUUUUGGUGAAGGUCAAAGAAAUAAAUAAUUACGCUUAUUUUAAUAGAUUAUAAUUAUGAGACAACAAACAUCUUUAUAAGAUCAAUGAUUGGCUCAGAUUUAUCUGAGUUUGUGUGAUGCUUAUAAGUCUAUUGUCCUUUAUCAAAAGAACUCUUGUAACACCAUAAUGCGGUGAACAUUCGCGUGAUGAAAAAAUAUCAUAAAUAUAAUGAUAGGAAAUUGCAACUAUCUUACCUAAGUACUAUCCUGUUUCUGUUUUAUUCCUAAUGCUUUUUAAUUUACCUACUUAACUCUUGCUUUCAAUUGUUUGGGAUUAAAAAAAAAUGCUUCUUUAAAAGAACACUCUUUUUUUGAAACAAUUACAAUUUCUGAAUUCUUUAUAUUUUUUAUAUUUUUUACUCGUUUAGCAUUUAGUUAGAGCUUAGUAAUAUUAUAGAUGACUGCUUAUGAUACAGAUUGCUAGUUCAUGUUGUAGUAUACUACGAUUUUGGCAGCAAACGUCUGGUUCAUAAUGUAUCAAUUUAACUUUUACUGAACAAUUUUUUCUAAUUAUUACAUAGAAAUAGAUUUUUAAAAAGUAUUUUGGAGGUCAAUGAAUUAUACUGUUAGAGAUUCGUGUUUUCUCAAAAUACUUUGGGGGUAUAUUUGAAAUUUUUAUCUAAAAUAUUUUUAAGUUUGAUACUUACGUUGUUGGUCAAAAAGUUAAGCUUUUGUAAAUGUUUUAACAUUCGAGAAAAGAAACAUUUAUUUGCUGUUUUAUUGGCUCGCUCAUAUUCGAACGCAAAACUUGAGUACAAAGCUAAAACUGUAAACACUUUAAAAUACAGAUACAUUAAUGGUUAAACAUACAUCUACUAAUAUAAUUAUAUUUUGAAUAUGCACAAACAACUGAUUGUUCAAAACGUAAUGUUCUAUCUAAAAAUAUUUUGAUUAACUAAUGUCAAUUCAAAACAUAAAGCAUAGUUCAGUAAAUUAUUAGGAAAUGAUACAGUUACUUGAUGCAAAUAAUUUGGAACGUUGUUUCUAUAAGCGCGCAUGGAAAACUACAAUUCUAAAUAAUACUUGCAUUUUCAUUUUGUAUGAAUCAAAUAAUUGUCGUAGAUUACGUAUAAAUAAUGUAAUAUGUAUAAUAUUUAUCGAUUUUCUUAUAACUUUAUAUACAUUAAAAACGUUGUUAAUUAUUUUAACUAUAUUUUGAUUAUUUAAUGGCCAUAAUUUUGGUGUGCAGUAAUCUUAGAAACUAAAAUUACCCAAAAAAUAACCACGUUUUAACCAAUUAAGUAAUUUUUAUCCAAAAACUUCAUUUGCUUAAAAAAUUUGGUGCAAAAAUCGUGACAAUCGAUAUACCCUCGAAACAAUUUAGUAACGAUAAAAUGUUUUUUAUUCCUCUAAUCUCAAUAUGACAUCUUUAAAAUUGAAUGUUUGAGUAUCAGAUUAAUAAGUAAUAUGCCAGCUAAUGUGUUCUCUUAAAAAUGCAUACAAUCUGCACAUAGGUUCGUGUACUCGAUGGUAUUGUGUGUACGUGUUCGCGUUCGUGUGUUGCUCACUAUAUCUAACAUCUUGACCGAUUUUUCCCAUAUCAGGUCUUAUUAAAAUAUUUUUGAAUAAUGAAAGCGGCUAAAGAAAAUAAUGUUAAUUUUUCAUACGUUUUAAUUAAUUUAUAUAUGAUUGCGUUUGAAUUUAAUUUCCAUUUUGUGCGCGCUCUAAAAUAUAUGUAAAUAUAACCUCAAAAUCUAGCAAUAAUUUUUUAUUUUACGUUACUUCUGAUGGCUUUACUAAUCCGGCAUCAAACUUCCUGGGCUCACUUGUUUAAGAUAGAAUAUUCCUCGACUUGUGCGUAACGUAGCUGUCUACAUUUUACUUAGAAAGAUACGUAAUAACAAGUUAUGUAAGAGAUAUAAUUUUGUAGUCCGAUUGAUAAAAAGGAUUUGUUUUCAGUUUAUUUUAGGUCCAUGACUAUUUAAAAAUUUUUAAGGAGGCUACAUCUUGGAAAGUUUCUUGGUUUCUUUUUGUAUUUUAUUUGUAAUUAAUUGAUAGAAACAUUUUUAAAGUUUUAUAAAUAGAAAUCUAGUUUGAGUAACCUUAGUACUUAAGUGCAAAUUCGUCGGCAAUUAAAUACUUUGCAUAUUGUCUUGAUUUGAAUUACGUGCAUUAAAUGUACUAGAUAAUAUUUUUAUAUAAGUUUCUAAUGUUGUAAAUGUAUGCUAAUUUU
RNA transcript from Belonocnema kinseyi, 4559 nucleotides. It is a transcript of the gene named DTW domain-containing protein 2, with no coding region annotated. The transcript has 3 exons. Lineage: Eukaryota; Metazoa; Arthropoda; Insecta; Hymenoptera; Cynipidae. The record is from RefSeq and is a predicted model, not a curated record.